CAUGCAAGUCGAACGGUGAUGGGGAGCUUGCUCUCCGGAUCAGUGGCGAACGGGUGAGUAACACGUGAGCAAUCUGCCCCUGACUCUGGGAUAAGCGCUGGAAACGGCGUCUAAUACUGGAUACGAGCUGCGAUCGCAUGGUCAGCAGUUGGAAAGAAUUUCGGUCAGGGAUGAGCUCGCGGCCUAUCAGCUUGUUGGUGAGGUAAUGGCUCACCAAGGCGUCGACGGGUAGCCGGCCUGAGAGGGUGACCGGCCACACUGGGACUGAGACACGGCCCAGACUCCUACGGGAGGCAGCAGUGGGGAAUAUUGCACAAUGGGCGCAAGCCUGAUGCAGCAACGCCGCGUGAGGGACGACGGCCUUCGGGUUGUAAACCUCUUUUAGCAGGGAAGAAGCGAAAGUGACGGUACCUGCAGAAAAAGCACCGGCUAACUACGUGCCAGCAGCCGCGGUAAUACGUAGGGUGCAAGCGUUAUCCGGAAUUAUUGGGCGUAAAGAGCUCGUAGGCGGUUUGUCGCGUCUGCUGUGAAAACCCGAGGCUCAACCUCGGGCCUGCAGUGGGUACGGGCAGACUAGAGUGCGGUAGGGGAGAUUGGAAUUCCUGGUGUAGCGGUGGAAUGCGCAGAUAUCAGGAGGAACACCGAUGGCGAAGGCAGAUCUCUGGGCCGUAACUGACGCUGAGGAGCGAAAGGGUGGGGAGCAAACAGGCUUAGAUACCCUGGUAGUCCACCCCGUAAACGUUGGGAACUAGUUGUGGGGUCCAUUCCACGGAUUCCGUGACGCAGCUAACGCAUUAAGUUCCCCGCCUGGGGAGUACGGCCGCAAGGCUAAAACUCAAAGGAAUUGACGGGGACCCGCACAAGCGGCGGAGCAUGCGGAUUAAUUCGAUGCAACGCGAAGAACCUUACCAAGGCUUGACAUAUACGAGAACGCUGCAGAAAUGUGGAACUCUUU
This 955-nucleotide ribosomal RNA is filed under the name Microbacterium sp. Its description in RNAcentral is "bacterial SSU rRNA". It matches the Rfam family "Bacterial small subunit ribosomal RNA", at positions 54 to 1019 of the family's 1533-position model. Lineage: Bacteria; Bacillati; Actinomycetota; Actinomycetes; Micrococcales; Microbacteriaceae. The record is from RNAcentral.